GAAGUGUUAGUAAAACAAUUACAUAGUUCUGUCGAGACUAAAUUACGGGUUAAACCCCCGUCCACUUCA
Molecule: transfer RNA, 69 nt
Filed under: Orthonyx spaldingii (northern chowchilla)
Lineage: Eukaryota; Metazoa; Chordata; Aves; Passeriformes; Orthonychidae
Description: tRNA-Asp
Source: RNAcentral